RNAcentral lists this ribosomal RNA (478 nucleotides) under uncultured bacterium. RNAcentral describes it as "bacterial SSU rRNA". It matches the Rfam family "Bacterial small subunit ribosomal RNA", at positions 338 to 833 of the family's 1533-position model. The record is from RNAcentral.
CCUACGGGAGGCAGCAGUGGGGAAUAUUGGACAAUGGGCGCAAGCCUGAUCCAGCAAUGCCGCGUGAGUGAUGAAGGCCUUAGGGUUGUAAAGCUCUUUCGCACGCGACGAUGAUGACGGUAGCGUGAGAAGAAGCCCCGGCUAACUUCGUGCCAGCAGCCGCGGUAAUACGAAGGGGGCUAGCGUUGUUCGGAAUGACUGGGCGUAAAGGGCGCGUAGGCGGUUGAUCAAGUUGGGGGUGAAAGCCCGGAGCUUAACUUCGGAAUUGCCUUCAAGACUGGUCGGCUUGAGUGUGGAAGAGGGUUGUGGAAUUCCCAGUGUAGAGGUGAAAUUCGUAGAUAUUGGGAAGAACACCAGUGGCGAAGGCGACAACCUGGUCCAUUACUGACGCUGAGGCGCGACAGCGUGGGGAGCAAACAGGAUUAGAUACCCUGGUAGUCCACGCCGUAAACGAUGAGUGCUGGAUGUUGGACGGUUG